Molecule: ribosomal RNA, 473 nt
Filed under: uncultured bacterium
Lineage: Bacteria
Description: bacterial SSU rRNA
Rfam family: Bacterial small subunit ribosomal RNA
Source: RNAcentral
UGGGGAAUUUUGGACAAUGGGCGCAAGCCUGAUCCAGCCAUGCCGCGUGAGUGAAGAGGGCCUUCGGGUUGUAAAGCUCUUUCGGCGGGGACGAAACGGUUCGUGACAACACCACGGACUAAUGACGGUACCCGCAUAAGAAGCACCGGCUAACUUCGUGCCAGCAGCCGCGGUAAUACGAAGGGAGCUAGCGUUGUUCGGAAUCACUGGGCGUAAAGCGCACGUAGGUGGGCAGUUAAGUCAGGGGUGAAAGCCCGAGGCUCAACCUCGGAAUUGCCUCUGAUACUGGCUGUCUAGAGUCCGAGAGAGGUGGGUGGAAUUCCUAGUGUAGAGGUGAAAUUCGUAGAUAUUAGGAAGAACACCGGUGGCGAAGGCGGCCCACUGGCUCGGUACUGACACUGAGGUGCGAAAGCGUGGGGAGCGAAACAGGAUUAGAUACCCCUGUAGUCCCUGAGCGGGCUGGCAAGGCGCAU